This 682-nucleotide long non-coding RNA is filed under the name Eucalyptus grandis. RNAcentral's name for it is "long non-coding RNA (EGRA_LNC003421)". Lineage: Eukaryota; Viridiplantae; Streptophyta; Magnoliopsida; Myrtales; Myrtaceae. The record is from RNAcentral.
GGUUCAAGAGCUUCUCGUGGUAGUAGCUUCUCGUGGCGAUUCCUUCUCCAUCGCCCUCAGGCCGCUGAUAGCCGCCGCUGAUCGUCCAUCGCCAGCCACCGACGCAUGCAGUCAUCGCAGAUAGCUCAUCCGCAAAGAUAUCAGCAAUUCCGCGGCAGAUCGCCACCAGUUUCACCGCCGUGAAGAGGCUCCGUUCGCCCCUGUUUCAGAGUCAUCGCUACCGAAGUACACAAUCUAGGUCUAUUCCUCUAGGUCCCGGCGUUGUUGUCCAUUACGAUCUCUCUCCUUCGAGCGAUCAUCAAUCUCAAGCAGUGACGGCUCUACCAACGCUUCCCUCUCCUAUGCUCUAUUUUGGUUUCAACCUCGUAUGUUUCAGUGCACGCCUGUCCUCAUAUUCGUUGAUUUUGUCUCUGAUAAUGUUUAAAAUGAACAUCUCACUCUAUGCUCCUCACCGAUGAUUUGUUGAGUAUUUUGUCUCGAGCACUUCGAAUUUCAUGUUCAUCAGCUGUUCGAUGUUUUGCCCAAGUGACUUCUAGUAUUGAUUUGCUUCUAUCAUCAGCAAUCUGAGAGCAUUCUAGUGCGACUUGCAUGGUUAUUAGUAGAUGGAUCGGCCCUAAGAUAUGAUUAUUGGCUCAUUACUUGCUGGUCGAGAACCAUCAUGCAUGAGGCCAGCCCAAUCUCG